GCGUCAGCGGUGUAAUGGUCAGCAUGGUUGCCUUCCAAGCAAUUGACGGGGGGUCUGGUUCCCCCUUAACACA
This 73-nucleotide transfer RNA is filed under the name Gongylonema pulchrum. It matches the Rfam family "tRNA". From Rfam's summary of the family: Transfer RNA (tRNA) molecules are approximately 80 nucleotides in length. Their secondary structure includes four short double-helical elements and three loops (D, anti-codon, and T loops). Lineage: Eukaryota; Metazoa; Nematoda; Chromadorea; Rhabditida; Gongylonematidae. The record is from Rfam by way of RNAcentral.